GAAUUUUGAAGGUGUUUUGUUUUUAAAUUUCAAACUUGACUUCAAAAGUAUUUGCAUUUAUAUAAUGAUCCUUAUAUUUAUCAUAAUUAAUCAUAAAUAUAAAAAAUUAAUAAAUAAUUAUCACGUAUACAAAAUAUUACAGUAAUAUUAAUUAAAAAAUAUUACAUUAAAAUAUAAAAUAUUACAUAGAAAUAUAUGAUUAAAUAUUAAAUUGCAAACAAAAUAACACAUUAUUACAUAAAUUUGUUUCCAAAAUGCCACAUUAUUCCGUAGCAUUUUAAAUUUUAUUUUCAAGUUUAUUAAUUUUAUAUGUAGAACUAAAUUUGUAAUAACAAAUUCCAAAUAUUUAUGAGAUAUAAAAAAUUUAAUGAUUAAAAUGAUAAACAAUAAAAUAUUUAAUAAUCAUAAAUAUUAUGUAUAAUUAUAAGUAUCAAAAUGCAAUAAAAGUAUGAAACUUGAAGUUUCUUUUGGAAAAAAAAAAAUCAUAUUUGAAGUUAUAAAAUAAUUUUUGGAGAUGCUCUUGAUAUUGGUUGAUUAUAAGAAAAUUGCCAAAAAUAGCACUUUAAAGAUACCACUUUGGAGAUACCAAUUUUAAUUUCUACCUUAACCAACUUUACCAUUAAAAUUUUAAUCGGUAAAGUAACUCUUUACCUUUAACUAAUUAAAUAACUACUUUUUUCCUACAAUUUCUUCAGAUCUCAGAUCCACGAAAUUGAAUAUAUUCGAUGAUCAAAGCCGACGAGAUUGGCCAAUUCUGAACAGUACUCCGGCGAGAUUCGACGACAAUAGCGAGUUCUCCGGCGAGACUUGACGACGUUGACGAAUUCUCUGGCUAGUUCUCCGGCGAGAUUUGACGAGGACUACAACCUCAAAUGGUUUUCCGAAUCUAUCACCAUCGUCGAUCAAUCUGUUCAUGAGCUAUGCAGUUUAGUAUCAGACUCCGUUCUGGACCUCUCCCGCGGUUUUCUCGAGCUCCAAUCUGCACUCGAAGGGUUUUUGAUUCUUAUCGGUUACGAACAGAAACAUGGGGAUUGGAAGUUCAAUUCGACCGAGAUUCAAAAACAUUUAUAAAUUAUUUAUAAUCGUUAUAUAGCCUUACAGAAAACUAAGUUCAAGCUUGUUAUACAUAUCCUUAUAGACUGAUUUCAUAAACUCUUAUAAAUGAAUUAUAUUUUAAAAGAUAUUUAGAAAGCCUUAUAAAUUGUUUUGAUAACCAAUUAUAAAUAGAUUUAUGAACCUCAUAAUUGGUUUUACAAAUCCAUAUAUAUGAUCUAUAAAGUGCUUUAUAAAAUCUUAUAAUUGUCUUAAUAAAAUAUUUAUAAACCGUUAUAUAUAAUCUAUACAUUUUCUUAUAAAAAAUAAUAAAUUUCUUUAUAAACUCUUAUAAAUGAUUUAUAAUAUUUUAUAAGAGAUUUAUAAACCCUUAUAUAUGGUUUAUAAACCAUUAUAAAUUAUUUAUAAAUGAUUUUUAAAUAUUUACAAAUGAUUUGUAGAUUUUUACAAACAUAUAUAUUAUUUAUUAUCAUUUAAAAAAGUGAUUUAUAGACCUUUUAAACGUCUAUAAAUGAUUAACAAUAUUUUAUAAAGUCCUGAAAGAUAAUAAUACUUCAGUCUUUUCUUACAGUAACAGAAGCAAAACGUUUUGUUUUAGUUAAAGCUCUGAACUCACUUACCUUUGUGAUUGUUCAAACUCUUUGAGCUCAAAGAGAGUAGACAGAGUGUAAUCAUAAAUGUAAUCAGGUUUCUUCCCACGUCAAUAAUAAUAUGCAAUCUUAAGAAUAGUCGCCAUAUCUACCCCAUCUUCCUAACAUAUGUAGAUCAAUCAUGCUGUAGAUUAGUAAAAUAAAUACAAUAUUUGAUUCAAACAUGCAGAAGAUGUGAGCACCUUACCAAGAAGAGGAACCGUUCAUUAUUCACAAACUCAGGGACUUUACAUUUUGGCAAUGCACAAUGGAGUCUUUCAGUGUCUUCUUUGUUAAUCAAUGAGCUAUAAGAAUAUCUUAAAGCUUAUUAUUUUAUCUAUCCACUCGUGAUUUAAAAACAAUUAUAAAUGAUUUAUAAAUAGUUAUAAUGUUUCUUCCAAUCUCUAUCUCUCUUUUUUGUUGCAUCUGAAUUGUGUGUAUUAACUGUAAAUAAGCAUUAGUGUACUUGAAAAUAAAAAUAUUUGAUUUCAUGUAAACCAUAGUUGAGAACUGCACAUAUGCAAAGAAUUUGGUAAUCUAAAAUUAAAAGAAACCAUAAAAUAAUUUAUAAAGGCUUAUAAAUCAUUUAUUAUGAUUCAUAAACCAAUUUAUUUUAUAAAGAUUUAUAAAUAAGCUACAAAACAAGGAAGAACAGCAAAGCAUUACCAGAGAUCACCACAAGGAGGACCCAGAAGCUUCAAGGUAUAGGGAACAUAACCAAAAGCCACACCAAGGAGAACGUAACUGAAGACCGUGAAGAGACACCAUCCAAACUACACAUCACUUAAGAAACAUGGGGAUUGGAAGUUCAAUUCGACCGAGAAUCAUCUGUUUGUGAGGAUUCUUUCAUGCUGAGUGGAGACGUAGGCAGAGCUUCUUCACCAAGUAUCACUCUUUGUGAUGCGUACUCAGCGAUUGGGGAUGGUGGGAGUAUGUGAAUUUUCUGGAGCCAUUCGUGAAUUUUGUAAUAUUACGUACCCCAUUUGCAGAUUCAUCCCCGUCUUUGUUUGUGAGGGAGUUAGUCUCAUCAAUGGCUUCCCUUGUUGCUCAUGCCGUCAUGAAGCAUUGCCGGUAUUCAGAUUGCUUAUGCGAUGUCUUAAGUAAGUCCCAGGGAAGAACUCGGAAGUAAGUACUUAUGAUUGACAGUUACUAUGAUAAAUGCUUAUAGGACCAAGUACUAAGUUUCUGAGACUAUUCAGGACAAUAGAAAUUUCAGCUGCAUUGUCAAGACACUAGUGGAUGCUUUCAUUGUGGUUGCGAGAGACUUGGUUGGAACUAGAUUGGAAGUAAUAGAAAUGCAUGUGUUUGGUGUUCAACUGGUAGAUACCGUGCUUUUGCUUUUUCACCAAAAGUAAACAUGAUCCUGCUAAACAUUUCUUUGUCUAACUAUGGAGUUUGAAUAUUUUGCAGGGCUAGCUGUGUGAUGUUGAACAAAAGCAAGCAUAUAGUUGAAGUUGUUUCUAUGUUGGUCACUAUCCUUCAGUACCAAGCUUAUCUAUAAGAAACCGUACUCUAAGAAACUACAUUACUGAUGAUGCUUAUCACUGGAAAGAGAAUUUGUAGUUUGCUUGGUCCGGCCACGAACUGGGUGCGUCCGGUUUAGUCCUAGUUUAACAAUGUGCCUUCUGUAGCUGUCAAACUCAUGGUUUAUACCUAUUCAUAGUGCCGGUUAUGCACUGGAACAUGUGGCCUUGGAAUAUUUAGUAGUUAUUGUAUUCAGAUGCUUCUUUAUGAAAGAGUUUUUUGGUGCGUAAUCUAAUAUAUAUUUAGGUUAUGAACCAAUCAUUUUGAUUAUCAGAGAUAUAAUAACGAGCAUCCAUUUACUUGAAAGUAGAACUAGAAAUGUUUGAUUUCAAGUACAGAAUAGCUGGGAAUUGCACAUAUGCGAGGGAUGUGGGUAAUUUAAAUUCAAAAGAAACCAUAAAAUUAUUUAUAAAGGUUUAUAAAUCAUUUCUAAAGAUUCAUAAAUCAAUUUGUAAGGGUUUAUAACUUAUUUUAUAAAGAUUUAUAAAUUAGCUAUAAGAAUUUAUAAAGGCUUAUAAAUAAUUUUUAAGAGUUUUAAAUCAUUUAAAAUAUUUUAAUACUCAGCUAUAAAUGUUUAUACAUCAUUUUGUAAUGAUUUAUAAAUCAAUUAUAAAUAUUUAAAAUGAGUCUUAUAAAUAAUUUAUAAGCCUUUGAAAAAAUUUAAAUGAUCUAGUAAGUCUUAUAAAUCAUUUACAAGUGCUCAUUGAUAAUUUUAUAAGCGUUUAAAAAUAAUAUUAUAAGAGUUGAUAAAUGUUUAUAAUUAAUUUAUAAGAGUUAUAAAUUAGUUAUGAGAGUUUAUAAAUUAUUUUAUAACGGGUUAUAAAUAUUUAUAAAUCAUUUAUAAGAGCUUAGAAUUCAGUUAUAAUAAUUUAUAAAUAAUUUUAUAAGAGUAUAUAAAUUAGUUAUAAAUAUUUAGAAAGGCUUACAAAUCAUAAACGAGUAUAAAGGUUUAUGAAUGUUUAUUAGGGUUUGUGAACCGGUUUAUAAGGGCUUAUGAACUAAUUUAUAAAAGUUAUAUGUACUUAUUUAUAAGUGUUUAUGAAUUGAUUUAUAAUGGUUUUAAAUCGAUUUGUAAGUGUCCAUAAACUGAUUUAUAAAUGUUAUAAAUGUUUGCCGUGUGCUCAUAUUGGCUUGCACUAAUGCCAAAGAAACUAGAAAGUGCUUAUGUGUUAUCUUUUUAGAACAAAAUAUUGAUAACGGAGUUAUAGUUAAUUUAUCUUAUGGUCGUACAGAGGAUUGUGUUUAAAUGCAUGGAAACAUGCAUUGAGAUUUUCACAUAACUUUUCUCACAUGGGAUGAUACAAAAGUAUAUGUUUUGUAAAGCUUUUUUGUGUGCAUAGUCUUUUUGAGCGAUUUUAGAAACAUCAACUUAUGAGCCAUUAUAAAUUAAUUUAUAAAUAUAUUUUUAUAAAUGAUUUAUAAACCCUUAUAAAUAAGUUAAAAAUAAUUUAUAAAUGAUUUAUAAAUCUUCAUAAAUGAUUCAAAAACAUUUAUAAAUUAUUUAUAAUCGUUAUAUAACCUUACAGAAAACUAAGUUCAAGCUUGUUAUACAUAUCCUUAUAGACUGAUUUCAUAAACUCUUAUAAAUGAAUUAUAUUUUAAAAGAUAUUUAGAAAGCCUUAUAAAUUGUUUUGAUAACCAAUUAUAAAUAGAUUUAUGAACCUCAUAAUUGGUUUUACAAAUCCAUAUAUAUGAUCUAUAAAGUGCUUUAUAAAAUCUUAUAAUUGUCUUAAUAAAAUAUUUAUAAACCGUUAUAUAUAAUCUAUACAUUUUCUUAUAAAAAAUAAUAAAUUUCUUUAUAAACUCUUAUAAAUGAUUUAUAAUAUUUUAUAAGAGAUUUAUAAACCCUUAUAUAUGGUUUAUAAACCAUUAUAAAUUAUUUAUAAAUGAUUUUUAAAUAUUUACAAAUGAUUUGUAGAUUUUUACAAACAUAUAUAUUAUUUAUUAUCAUUUAAAAAAGUGAUUUAUAGACCUUUUAAACGUCUAUAAAUGAUUAACAAUAUUUUAUAAAGUCCUGAAAGAUAAUAAUACUUCAGUCUUUUCUUACAGUAACAGAAGCAAAACGUUUUGUUUUAGUUAAAGCUCUGAACUCACUUACCUUUGUGAUUGUUCAAACUCUUUGAGCUCAAAGAGAGUAGACAGAGUGUAAUCAUAAAUGUAAUCAGGUUUCUUCCCACGUCAAUAAUAAUAUGCAAUCUUAAGAAUAGUCGCCAUAUCUACCCCAUCUUCCUAACAUAUGUAGAUCAAUCAUGCUGUAGAUUAGUAAAAUAAAUACAAUAUUUGAUUCAAACAUGCAGAAGAUGUGAGCACCUUACCAAGAAGAGGAACCGUUCAUUAUUCACAAACUCAGGGACUUUACAUUUUGGCAAUGCACAAUGGAGUCUUUCAGUGUCUUCUUUGUUAAUCAAUGAGCUAUAAGAAUAUCUUAAAGCUUAUUAUUUUAUCUAUCCACUCGUGAUUUAAAAACAAUUAUAAAUGAUUUAUAAAUAGUUAUAAUGUUUCUUCCAAUCUCUAUCUCUCUUUUUUGUUGCAUCUGAAUUGUGUGUAUUAACUGUAAAUAAGCAUUAGUGUACUUGAAAAUAAAAAUAUUUGAUUUCAUGUAAACCAUAGUUGAGAACUGCACAUAUGCAAAGAAUUUGGUAAUCUAAAAUUAAAAGAAACCAUAAAAUAAUUUAUAAAGGCUUAUAAAUCAUUUAUUAUGAUUCAUAAACCAAUUUAUUUUAUAAAGAUUUAUAAAUAAGCUACAAAACAAGGAAGAACAGCAAAGCAUUACCAGAGAUCACCACAAGGAGGACCCAGAAGCUUCAAGGUAUAGGGAACAUAACCAAAAGCCACACCAAGGAGAACGUAACUGAAGACCGUGAAGAGACACCAUCCAAACUACACAUCACUUAAGAAACAUGGGGAUUGGAAGUUCAAUUCGACCGAGAAUCAUCUGUUUGUGAGGAUUCUUUCAUGCUGAGUGGAGACGUAGGCAGAGCUUCUUCACCAAGUAUCACUCUUUGUGAUGCGUACUCAGCGAUUGGGGAUGGUGGGAGUAUGUGAAUUUUCUGGAGCCAUUCGUGAAUUUUGUAAUAUUACGUACCCCAUUUGCAGAUUCAUCCCCGUCUUUGUUUGUGAGGGAGUUAGUCUCAUCAAUGGCUUCCCUUGUUGCUCAUGCCGUCAUGAAGCAUUGCCGGUAUUCAGAUUGCUUAUGCGAUGUCUUAAGUAAGUCCCAGGGAAGAACUCGGAAGUAAGUACUUAUGAUUGACAGUUACUAUGAUAAAUGCUUAUAGGACCAAGUACUAAGUUUCUGAGACUAUUCAGGACAAUAGAAAUUUCAGCUGCAUUGUCAAGACACUAGUGGAUGCUUUCAUUGUGGUUGCGAGAGACUUGGUUGGAACUAGAUUGGAAGUAAUAGAAAUGCAUGUGUUUGGUGUUCAACUGGUAGAUACCGUGCUUUUGCUUUUUCACCAAAAGUAAACAUGAUCCUGCUAAACAUUUCUUUGUCUAACUAUGGAGUUUGAAUAUUUUGCAGGGCUAGCUGUGUGAUGUUGAACAAAAGCAAGCAUAUAGUUGAAGUUGUUUCUAUGUUGGUCACUAUCCUUCAGUACCAAGCUUAUCUAUAAGAAACCGUACUCUAAGAAACUACAUUACUGAUGAUGCUUAUCACUGGAAAGAGAAUUUGUAGUUUGCUUGGUCCGGCCACGAACUGGGUGCGUCCGGUUUAGUCCUAGUUUAACAAUGUGCCUUCUGUAGCUGUCAAACUCAUGGUUUAUACCUAUUCAUAGUGCCGGUUAUGCACUGGAACAUGUGGCCUUGGAAUAUUUAGUAGUUAUUGUAUUCAGAUGCUUCUUUAUGAAAGAGUUUUUUGGUGCGUAAUCUAAUAUAUAUUUAGGUUAUGAACCAAUCAUUUUGAUUAUCAGAGAUAUAAUAACGAGCAUCCAUUUACUUGAAAGUAGAACUAGAAAUGUUUGAUUUCAAGUACAGAAUAGCUGGGAAUUGCACAUAUGCGAGGGAUGUGGGUAAUUUAAAUUCAAAAGAAACCAUAAAAUUAUUUAUAAAGGUUUAUAAAUCAUUUCUAAAGAUUCAUAAAUCAAUUUGUAAGGGUUUAUAACUUAUUUUAUAAAGAUUUAUAAAUUAGCUAUAAGAAUUUAUAAAGGCUUA
Brassica napus (rape) is the source of this 7352-nucleotide long non-coding RNA. RefSeq lists it as uncharacterized. The record is from RefSeq and is a predicted model, not a curated record. NCBI's taxonomy places the organism in Eukaryota, Viridiplantae, Streptophyta, Magnoliopsida, Brassicales, Brassicaceae. The transcript has 5 exons.